Molecule: long non-coding RNA, 199 nt
Filed under: Lathyrus oleraceus (garden pea)
Lineage: Eukaryota; Viridiplantae; Streptophyta; Magnoliopsida; Fabales; Fabaceae
Description: Pisum sativum (pea) long non-coding RNA (PSAT_LNC034334)
Source: RNAcentral
AACAACUUGCCAUGCCAAAAAGAGGAAGAGGAAUGAUCUUGUAUUGGUUUAAGUCCUUUGCAUGAUUUAAGAAGCAAUCUAUCCUUAAUGCAAAGCCAUUCACUUGAUCAUUUGAUCCAGAUGAAUUAGAUUUGAAUCAAGGAAGAUUAAACCUCCCUAAUCAAUGCUAACUUAUCAACCUUUAACUCAUUGAUCAAAA